GUGCUCACUUCAGCAGCACUUGUACUAAAAUUGGAACAACAGAAGAUUAGCAUGGCCCCUGCGCAAGGCUAACAUAUACAUUCAUGAAGUAUUCUGUAUUUAA
Small nuclear RNA from Callithrix jacchus (white-tufted-ear marmoset), 103 nucleotides. Lineage: Eukaryota; Metazoa; Chordata; Mammalia; Primates; Cebidae. The record is from Ensembl.